This is a non-coding RNA of Hordeum vulgare subsp. vulgare (domesticated barley), 241 nucleotides long. The record is from Rfam. NCBI's taxonomy places the organism in Eukaryota, Viridiplantae, Streptophyta, Magnoliopsida, Poales, Poaceae.
CCACAGCCAAGGGAACGGGCUUGGCGGAAUCAGCGGGGAAAGAAGACCCUGUUGAGCUUGACUCUAGUCCGACUUUGUGAAAUGACUUGAGAGGUGUAGGAUAAGUGCGAGCCCUUACGGGCGCAAGUGAAAUACCACUACUUUUAACGUUAUUUUACUUAUUCCGUGGGUCGGAAGCGGGGCAUGNCCCCUCCUUUUGGCUCCAAGGCCCGGUUUUAUCGGGCCGAUCCGGGCGGAAGAC